GUAGGGAAUAUUGGACAAUGGCUGAAAAGCUGAUCCAGCCAUCCCGCGUGAAGGCAGAAGGUCCUAUGGAUUGUAAACUUCUUUUCUCUGGGAAGAAAAGGCGGGUUUCUACCUGCUCUGACGGUACCAGAGGAAUAAGCACCGGCUAACUCCGUGCCAGCAGCCGCGGUAAUACGGAGGGUGCAAGCGUUAUCCGGAUUCACUGGGUUUAAAGGGUGCGUAGGCGGGCUUGUAAGUCAGUGGUGAAAGCCCGGGGCUUAACUCCGGAACUGCCGUUGAUACUGCAAGCCUUGAGUACGGUUGAGGUGGGCGGAAUACAUCAUGUAGAGGUGAAAUUCUUAGAUAUGAUGUAGAACACCGAUUGCGAAGGCAGCUCACUAAAGCGUAACUGACGCUGAGGCACGAAAGCGUGGGGAUCAAACAGGAUUAGAAACCCUAGUAGUCC
RNAcentral lists this ribosomal RNA (445 nucleotides) under uncultured bacterium. RNAcentral describes it as "bacterial SSU rRNA". It matches the Rfam family "Bacterial small subunit ribosomal RNA", at positions 354 to 796 of the family's 1533-position model. The record is from RNAcentral.